This 776-nucleotide ribosomal RNA is filed under the name uncultured Neocallimastigales. RNAcentral describes it as "partial large subunit ribosomal RNA". It matches the Rfam family "Eukaryotic large subunit ribosomal RNA", at positions 22 to 643 of the family's 3401-position model. Lineage: Eukaryota; Fungi; Neocallimastigomycota; Neocallimastigomycetes; Neocallimastigales. The record is from RNAcentral.
ACAUAGCGACUAUCGUGGCAUAUCAAUAAGCGGAGGAAAAGAAACUAACAAGGAUUCCCUUAGUAACGGCGAGUGAAGCGGGAAGAGCUCAAAUUUGAAAUCUUCAAGGUUCUACCUUGACGAAUUGUAGUUUAUAGAAGUGUUUUCUGUUAGUGGAGUGGCAAAAGUUCUUUGGAAUAGGACAUCAUAGAGGGUGAGAAUCCCGUAUUUGGUCAUUCCUCCUAGCGUUGUGAUACACUUUCAACGAGUCGGAUUGUUUGGGAAUGCAGUCCAAAACGGGUGGUAAAUUUCAUCUAAAGCUAAAUAUUGGCGAGAGACCGAUAGCGAACAAGCUACCGUGAGGGAAAGAUGAAAAGAACUUUGAAAAGAGAGUUAAACAGUACGUGAAAUUGUCAAAAGGGAAGCGUUUGACACCAGUGUUGUUUUUCCGAAAAUCAAUUACGAAUGUUUUGUUUUUGAGGAGUUAUGACUUCAUCGGCUUGCUCCUUUCUUUACGAAACUUUCUUAAUGCACUUUUCGGUUAACAAGUCAACAUCAAUUUCUUUUGUUGUAAAAGGGUAUGAGGAAGGUGGCUUUCUUUUCGGAGAAAGUGUUUAUAGCCUUGUGCCUCUACAAUCGGAGAGAUUGAGGUCUGCAGCGUAGAUCCUUCGGGGUUAGAUACGUUUGUGCUAAGUUAUAGCUUUUCAUAGACAACUUGUUGACUAUGUUUAGUCUUGUAGCUUACUCGCUUACGCUAUUUUACCUACGCUUAGGAUGUUGAUAUGCAUGACUGAUAU